RNAcentral lists this long non-coding RNA (2855 nucleotides) under Brassica napus (rape). Its description in RNAcentral is "long non-coding RNA (BNAP_LNC013004)". Lineage: Eukaryota; Viridiplantae; Streptophyta; Magnoliopsida; Brassicales; Brassicaceae. The record is from RNAcentral.
GUUGGUUUGUUAUGAUUUUACAAUUAUGAGAAAUAUUACAUAGACGAUCCGACAAUCGACAAUACUACCUGUCUUAUAAGGAUCUACGUCUAACUGCAUCACCUGAUCCGUCCUACGAAGAUCACGCCUGACUGAGUUUAUUUGCACCACGUUGAAGAUCUCUUGUAAGUCUUUCCUCCGUAGUCUGCAUAAUUAUUUAAUAAAUCGCCUUCUCCGAAAAUUGAAACAUGAACCUGCUGGUGUAGAAGCAUUAAUGAACCCUUAGUCAAACCAUUAGACUAAGGGGGCUUUCCAAACCAAAAAAAAAUAUUGAAGUUUUAUGAGGUGAAAAAUAUAUGGUGUCUAUUAAUUCUAUUUUUGUUCUUUUAACAGUUUUGUAGGCAUUUUAUACGGACUCAAUUUUCUAUCUUUAGAAAUAAAAUUUAGCUAUAUACAAUAAUAUGACUAGAGGUACAUAAAAAAUUCAAGCAAUAAAGAAUCAGUUAAAAAAAUCAGUUUUUUUUAAAAAAAAUCAGUUAAAAAUAAAAGAAAACAUGUCUAAGGGUGAAAAUAUUGUUUGUUUCAUUAUCUUCUUAGUGAUAUUUUUGGUGGUUUCAACAGGUAAUUUUAACAUAGUUUUUGAAGUCUCCCAAAAGCAUGUCUUUGAUUUCUAAGCAUGAUGUGUAUUACAUAUGGGCAUUCAGAUUUUGGAACUAAUUCAAUUCGGUUUCUAUCAGAUCCGGAACUUUAGGUUUAUAUAUAUUUGAAGUCAAAUUGGAAUUUAUAAAUUUUGUUUGGGUUUGGGUUCAGUUUCCACAUUGUGUAUUCUAAUAUUACAAGCUCUAACCUUUUGCAUUUAAAAGGUUUUUAUUAGUCAUCAAUGUUUAACACAAAACAAAAUUAUUAAAAAAAUUAUAGAUGCUAAGAUGCGUUUGGUUUAUGGUGUUUACAAUGUAGAAAAUUGAUCUAUAUAUGUUUUGUCAUAAUCACUUUCCAACAGAGAAAAUAGCUGCUGAAAAACUGGACCGUGAUUGUCGAGGACUGCCACUCCUUGUGGCACCGCCUCACCAAGUUUUGUAAAAUUACUAUUCUGAUUUUGAAGAGAUAAUGACUUUUUUCUUCCAAGUUUUAUCUUACUGAAAGGUAAACUGACAUUUACAUAUUGUCCUAAUCUCUUAUUUGAGUCACAUUCAUAGCAAAUAGCCGGACAUUCAAUAAAGUAGAGAAAUCAUAAAUUGGCUACUUUGUUGUCAGGCAUUGAGUGAAAUGAAUUCCUGUAAUACCUUCGAAAGCUUCAAGUGCCUUCUGGGAUGCUUUUGUUGGAUGUUUCUUUUUUGUUUUUUGGCACAGAUGUAUUAGUCUAUCAAUGCAAACUGGACAACAUAACGAUGUGAAGUAUGCAUAUGAAUUGAAGACUGAGACUACAACAAGAUUAUUGCAACAGUUGAUGUUAUUGAACUUUUUGCUCUAUUAUUUAUUUGGAAAAUAAUAUAUUAUCUGCCUAAAUAAGUCAUGUGAAUGCAUAAUAACUGAUUGUAUGAAAGUGGACAUUCUCUUCUUUCACGAAUUAUGCUUUAUAUAGUUGGUCGCUGUCUCGCUGAUUAUUGUUUUUUCCUUACUCAUUUUUCUUCAUGAUCAAGUUGGAUUGCUCAAUUUAUUUUAGACGGGUGUUCUCAAAUUUGAAAUGAGUAAUUAUUUCUUACUUUAGAUCUCUUAACCUCAUAAAGCAGAAACUGUCAAAUGUCUUUUGAAACAUGUAUUGCUAUUAUUAUAUGUGGAUUUCUUUUCACUGGCUAGAGAAAAAAAAAAGACAAAACUAUGAAAGAAGUUUUUUUUGUCAAAAACUAUGAAAAGUUUUCACCACUAAACUAUUCACAUAAAAAUGGGGAGAAUCAAUGAAUAUGACAUAAAUUUGUUGUAAAUAAUUUUUGUUAUUAUAUAGACUUAUAUUUUUUUUAUAAUAUGACCACAAUAUAUAUGUCCGAAACCGGGAAAAUCUCUAGUUAUUAUAAUGAAGAUUUUGUAAAACAAUGUAUGCGCAUAGUGCGGAUAUUUUCUACUAUCAAAAAAGGCAGUAGAAGUAGAGAGUUUGAGGUGCGACAAAUCAAUACAAGAUUGACGAACAAAAGCUUUGAGAAAAUGUUAUGUGUUACUUUAUUUUCUACUAUUUAACUUUUUAGUUUAUAACUAAUAUACUCAAUUGUUUUUUUAUUAUUGAUUUUAUAUGUUUAUUAUUUUCAAAGUAACAAAUGUUUUAUGGAUUUUUAAUUAAUUAAAAUAUUAUUAUUUGUAUCCAAGGUAUUAUAUAAAAUUAUAUAAAAUGAUUAUACGUAUCAUUAAAAUUAAUUUCAGAGACUUUUAUAUCUUUUAAAUAAUUUUAUAUAAUAUUAUUUUUAUGCUUUUUAAACUUAUUUAUUUGUAUGCUAUUUCAGUCACAUAUUAGUCAAAUCACUUUUGGAUUAAUUUCAAAAUAUGGAAAAGAGUAUUAAUUAUUGAACAAUCAAUGAGAGUUCGAUAAAUUAAUAUAUCCCAAUUAUAUUUUGGAAAAUUAAAAUAAAUAGAAAAUUGAAGUUUUUUUUUUUAACGUUGGUUUGUUAUGAUUUUACAAUUAUGAGAAAUAUUACAUAGACGAUCCGACAAUCGACAAUACUACCUGUCUUAUAAGGAUCUACGUCUAACUGCAUCACCUGAUCCGUCCUACGAAGAUCACGCCUGACUGAGUUUAUUUGCACCACGUUGAAGAUCUCUUGUAAGUCUUUCCUCCGUAGUCUGCAUAAUUAUUUAAUAAAUCGCCUUCUCCGAAAAUUGAAACAUGAACCUGCUGGUGUAGAAGCAUUAAUGAACCCUUAGUCAAACCAUUAGACUAAGGGGGCUUU